GACGAACGCUGGCGGCGUGCUUAACACAUGCAAGUCGAACGGAAAGGCCCUGCUUUUGUGGGGUGCUCGAGUGGCGAACGGGUGAGUAACACGUGAGUAACCUGCCCUUGACUUUGGGAUAACUUCAGGAAACUGGGGUUAAUACCGGAUAGGAGUUCCUGAUGCAUGGUGGGGGUUGGAAAGUUUCGGCGGUGGGGGAUGGACUCGCGGCUUAUCAGCUGGUUGGUGGGGUAGUGGCUAACCAAGGGUUUGCCGGGUAGCCGGCCUGGGAGGGUGGCCGCCACCAUUGGGACGAGGUUCGGCCCCGACCUCCACCGGGGGGCAGCGGUGGGAAUUAUGCCACAUGGGGCGGAGGCCGGUGGCGGCACGCCGGGGGGCGGGAUGCCGGCCUUCGGUUGUAAAACGGCUUUCGCCUGUGACGAAGCGUGAGUGACGGUAAUUGGUAAAGAAGCACCGGCUAACUACGUG
This 468-nucleotide ribosomal RNA is filed under the name uncultured bacterium. RNAcentral describes it as "partial 16S ribosomal RNA". It matches the Rfam family "Bacterial small subunit ribosomal RNA", at positions 28 to 507 of the family's 1533-position model. The record is from RNAcentral.